This is a long non-coding RNA of Pistacia vera, 1234 nucleotides long. RefSeq lists it as uncharacterized. The transcript is spliced from 3 exons. Lineage: Eukaryota; Viridiplantae; Streptophyta; Magnoliopsida; Sapindales; Anacardiaceae. The record is from RefSeq and is a predicted model, not a curated record.
UUUUAUUUCCAAUGAAAGCUCAUUAAAUGCAAUAUCUUUAUUUAUUAAAUUAAAUUAUUUAUUUUCAAUCUCCUCUAUCUUAAAUUGCAGGAACGAAGAAGAGUAGAGUAGAUUAAAGAGAGAAAGCUCCAAGAACUUCUUUCUCCAACUCUCUUUGUUGUUCUUUACUCUUUCAUUUCUUCUGUUUUAAUUAUUAAAGCUCUUCGGAUUCUUCAGCUUUCCUCUAAUCAAAAGCUGUGUGCCGCCACUGUUAUAUCCACCUCCACCAUUCUCCACCACCAUCGCCACCGCAGCAGCAACGGCCUAGGGUUUCAACUCCUCUCACUUGUUUUUUCUCCUCUUCUUCUUGUGGCUUCGUUGAUUAGUAUUAUUUUUUUGGGUUGAUUAGCCUCAUGUCUUUAAUUGAAAAUUGUAAAAAAGGUUUGAAUCUUAGAACUUAGGAAUUUGAGUUGACAAAACCAGUUGGAUCGGUGGGUCGCUACAGUAAAACCGGUCCAACCGUGAGUUAAAAUAGGUUAAUUUUCAUUCUCAGUUUUUAACCCUGACCGGUUCGCCUAAGCCACCGUUUUCCGAUCGAACCGGACCGGGUUUUAAAACCUUCAUUAAAGUACAAAACUAAAGAGAACUAUGAAGUACAAUGAGAAUAUUCCAUUUUAUGAUAUUUAGCUUUAUGCGUUUAUAGUAGGCUAACAUAAAGCUCCAUCAACCCUUUAUUCUUUCUCUUUUGUUAUGCUUAAAAUCCAAAGAAAAUCUUCCAAAUCUCCAGCAACAAUUUUGACAAUAAUGUAACAAAGCAUAAAGGUUUGUUUUUCUAUAUAUUGCUUAACCAUUUCCAUAAUAACAUACUCAACUAUUAACGCUGCUUUCUAUUUAUCAAGAUAUACCAACAAGAGUAAAGAAAACUCAACCAUGGCACAGCGGCUCGUAGUCUUUGAAGCUGUUUCAUUUGCUUUCUGUCUGUUAACUAGCCUAGCCAUGACCCUCAAGUCAGGAACUUGCAACUGCAAGAAAUCAACACAAGCUAAAAAUCCCACCAAGAAAUGCUAAGAUGAUCUUCGCUGCUCUCACACCAUGACCAUAAAUUUCCAAAGAAAAGCACUAGAGGACCUUGAGAGUUCAAGCUCACUCUUGGCAAUAGGCAUGGCAUAGUUAAGAGUUUAUUUGCAAACGAGAUUGUUAUCAAUGUGAUCUAAUCUAUAUGUACUUUACUGUUUACAUCCACUAAUUCAUACUA